CCUACGGGUGGCAGCAGUGGGGAAUAUUGGACAAUGGGGGGAACCCUGAUCCAGCGACGCCGCGUGAGUGAAGAAGUAUUUCGGUAUGUAAAGCUCUAUCAGCAGGGAAGAAAGGAAUGACGGUACCUGACUAAGAAGCCCCGGCUAACUACGUGCCAGCAGCCGCGGUAAUACGUAGGGGGCAAGCGUUAGCCGGAUUUACUGGGUGUAAAGGGAGCGUAGACGGCAGUGCAAGUCUGGAGUGAAAGGCGGGGGCUCAACCCCAGGACUGCUCUGGAAACUGUACGGCUGGAGUGCAGGAGAGGUAAGUGGAAUUCCUAGUGUAGCGGUGAAAUGCGUAGAUAUUAGGAGGAACACCAGUGGCGAAGGCGGCUUACUGGACUGUAACUGACGUUGAGGCUCGAAAGCGUGGGGAGCAAACAGGAUUAGAUACCCCAGUAGUC
RNAcentral lists this ribosomal RNA (443 nucleotides) under uncultured bacterium. RNAcentral's name for it is "partial 16S ribosomal RNA". It matches the Rfam family "Bacterial small subunit ribosomal RNA", at positions 338 to 795 of the family's 1533-position model. The record is from RNAcentral.